UAGGGAAUCUUCGGCAAUGGGGGGAACCCUGACCGAGCAACGCCGCGUGAGUGAAGAAGGUUUUCGGAUCGUAAAGCUCUGUUGUUAAGGAAGAACGAGUGUGAGAAUGGAAAGUUCAUGCUGUGACGGUACUUAACCAGAAAGGGACGGCUAACUACGUGCCAGCAGCCGCGGUAAUACGUAGGUCCCGAGCGUUGUCCGGAUUUAUUGGGCGUAAAGCGAGCGCAGGCGGUUAGAAAAGUCUGAAGUGAAAGGCAGUGGCUCAACCAUUGUAGGCUUUGGAAACUGUUUAACGUGAGUGCAGAAGGGGAGAGUGGAAUUCCAUGUGUAGCGGUGAAAUGCGUAGAUAUAGGGAGGAACACCGGUGGCGAAAGCGGCUCUCUGGUCUGUAACUGACGCUGAGGCUCGAAAGCGUGGGGAGCGAACAGG
Molecule: ribosomal RNA, 429 nt
Filed under: Bacteroidota bacterium
Lineage: Bacteria; Pseudomonadati; Bacteroidota
Description: Bacteroidetes bacterium partial 16S ribosomal RNA
Rfam family: Bacterial small subunit ribosomal RNA
Source: RNAcentral